The sequence is a transfer RNA, 74 nucleotides long. It matches the Rfam family "tRNA". Rfam says of the family: Transfer RNA (tRNA) molecules are approximately 80 nucleotides in length. Their secondary structure includes four short double-helical elements and three loops (D, anti-codon, and T loops). Further hydrogen bonds mediate the characteristic L-shaped molecular structure. tRNAs have two regions of fundamental functional importance: the anti-codon, which is responsible for specific mRNA codon recognition, and the 3' end, to which the tRNAs corresponding amino acid is attached (by aminoacyl-tRNA synthetases). tRNAs cope with the degeneracy of the genetic code in two manners: having more than one tRNA (with a specific anti-codon) for a particular amino acid; and 'wobble' base-pairing, i.e. permitting non-standard base-pairing at the 3rd anti-codon position. The record is from Rfam.
CGGAAUGUGGCGCAGCCUGGUAGCGCGUCUGUUUUGGGAACAGAAAGUCGUGUGUUCGAAUCCCACCAUUCCGA